RNAcentral lists this ribosomal RNA (368 nucleotides) under uncultured organism. Its description in RNAcentral is "bacterial LSU rRNA". It matches the Rfam family "Bacterial large subunit ribosomal RNA", at positions 2099 to 2465 of the family's 2925-position model. The record is from RNAcentral.
CUUUACUGUAACCUGGUAUUGGGUUCGGGCUUUGACUGCGGAGGAUAGGUGGGAGACUAUGAAGUGCUGCUUGUGGGUAGCAUGGAGUCAACAGUGAGAUACCACUCUGUCAGAGCUAGAAUUCUAACCUUCACCCAUGAUCUGGGGAAGGAACCGUAUCAGGCGGGCAGUUUGACUGGGGCGGUCGCCUCCUAAAUGGUAACGGAGGCGCGCAAAGGUGUUCUCAGGCUGGUUGGAAAUCAGCCGCAGAGUGUAAAGGCAGAAGAACGCUUGACUGUGAGAGUGACAACUCAAGCAGGGUGGAAACACGGCCUUAGUGAUCCGACGGCUUGUGCGUGGAAAUGCCGUCGCUCAACGGAUAAAAGUUA